CUGGUUGAUUCUGCCAGUAGUCAUAUGCUUGUCUCAAAGAUUAAGCCAUGCAUGUCUAAGUUUAAGCGUUUAGUACAGCAAGACUGCGGAUGGCUCAUUAAAUCAGUUAUAGUUUAUUUGAUGGUCAAUUUACUACAUGGAUAACCGUGGUAAUUCUAGAGCUAAUACAUGCGUAAAGUCCUAACUACCAGCAAUGGUCGGAAGGGAUGUAUUUAUUAGAUUAAAAACCAAUACUGGGUUUCGGCUCAGUCCUUAUGGUGAUUCAUAAUAACUUCAGCGGAUCGCAUUAUACCCUUCGGGGUGGCGACGGUUCAUUCAAAUUUCUGCCCUAUCAACUUUGGAUGGUAGUAUAGAGGACUACCAUGGUGAUAACGGGUAACGGAAAAUAAGGGUUCGAUUCCGGAGAGGGAGCCUGAGAAAUGGCUACCACUUCUAAGGAAGGCAGCAGGCGCGCAAAUUACCCAAUCCCGACACGGGGAGGUAGUGACAAUAAAUAACAAUACAGGUCUUUUUAAAAGUCGUGUAAUUGGAAUGAGAGCAAUGUAAACAUCUCAGCGAGUAACAAUUGGAGGGCAGGUCUGGUGCCAGCAUCCGCGGUAAUUCCAGCUCCAAUAGCGUAUACUAAAGUUGUUGCAGUUAAAGAGCUUAGUUGGAUCUUAGAGUACUUUUUAAAGCGUCCGGUCCGCUCGUCAAGAGUGUGUACUGAUGCUGGUGCUCUUACAAUAUUUCCGGUUUUCACCUCUGUUAUUCAGUUAAUGGAGGAAUCCUGAAUCCGGAACGUUUACUUUGAAAAAAUUAGAGUGUUCAAAGCAGGCAAGUUAUGUCAUUGAAUAGUUCAGCAUGGGAUAAUAGAAUAGGACCACGUUCUUAUUUUGUUGGUUUUCGAGGAUGUGGUAAUGAUUAAUAGGAACGGUCGGGGGCAUUGGUAUUUAGUUGUCAGAGGUGAAAUUCUUAGAUUUACGAAAGACCAACACAGGCGAAAGCAUUUGCCAAGGACGUUUUCAUUAAUCAAGAACGAAAGUUUGGGGAUCGAAGACGAUCAGAUACCGUCGUAGUCCAAACCAUAAACUAUGCCGACCAAGGAUCGAUGGAAGUUACAUGGAUGACUCCAGCGGCACUUUGUGAGAAAUCAUAAGUGUUUGGGUCCUGGGGGGAGUAUGGUCACAAGGCUGAAACUUAAAGAAACUGACGGAAGGGCACACCAGAUGUGGAACCUGCGGCUUAAUUUGACCCAACACGGGAAAACUCACCAGGUCCGGACAUAGUAAGGAUUGACAGAUUGAGAGCUCUUUCUUGAUUCUAUGGGUGGUGGUGCAUGGCCGUUCUUAGUUCGUGGAGUGAUUCGUCUGGUUAAUUCCGAUAACGAACGAGACCUCAACCUGCUAACUAGUCAUACUAACCCUGCUAUCCAAAACCAAUGGUUAAGUG
RNAcentral lists this ribosomal RNA (1428 nucleotides) under metagenome. RNAcentral's name for it is "SSU rRNA". It matches the Rfam family "Eukaryotic small subunit ribosomal RNA", at positions 4 to 1396 of the family's 1831-position model. The record is from RNAcentral.